Molecule: long non-coding RNA, 419 nt
Organism: Triticum dicoccoides
Lineage: Eukaryota; Viridiplantae; Streptophyta; Magnoliopsida; Poales; Poaceae
Exons: 3
Source: RefSeq, a predicted model, not a curated record
UGCUCGAUUCCACCGGACGCGCGCCUAGGCGGCCGGCGCUCCGAACCGCGGAUCUCUCGCAUCGUUCGAGUAGCCUCUUCUACGCCUCCUGUUCUGCAUCUGUGCUCCAUCGGUCUAUCUCCUGAUCGAUCACCGAAACCGGCUGAACAGGAGAAAAAAUAGAAACCCAAGAUGAAGAUGACUCGGACAGUUUUCCGUGAUCAUGCUUCGGGCCCCUCUAUUAUUGCCCCUCUAUUAUUGCUGUCGAAGAAAUGAUGGCCGCAAAAGAAGAAAAGCCUUCAUUAAUUUGGUAUCGCUGUUUGCAAUGACGAUCUUUGUUAAAUUGAUGAUGCAUUUAGUGAAUUUGCCCUCAUAGUUAUAAAAAAAAUAGUUUUACUGAAUUUGAAAUUCACAUUUUAUUCCUAAUCAAAACUUGUGGU